Toxocara canis (dog roundworm) is the source of this 73-nucleotide non-coding RNA. Lineage: Eukaryota; Metazoa; Nematoda; Chromadorea; Rhabditida; Toxocaridae. The record is from Rfam.
GCAAUAGUAACUCAGUGGUAGAGCUCCCGCUUUGCAUGUGGGAAGACCUGGGUUCGAUUCCGGGCUGCUUGCC